This 253-nucleotide ribosomal RNA is filed under the name uncultured bacterium. RNAcentral's name for it is "partial 16S ribosomal RNA". It matches the Rfam family "Bacterial small subunit ribosomal RNA", at positions 333 to 603 of the family's 1533-position model. The record is from RNAcentral.
UUGGGCCUACGGGGGGCAGCAGUGGGGAAUAUUGCACAAUGGGGGAAACCCUGAUGCAGCGACGCCGCGUGAGUGAAGAAGUAUUUCGGUAUGUAAAGCUCUAUCAGCAGGGAAGAAAAUGACGGUACCUGACUAAGAAGCCCCGGCUAACUACGUGCCAGCAGCCGCGGUAAUACGUAGGGGGCAAGCGUUAUCUGGAUUUACUGGGUGUAAAGGGAGCGUAGGUGGCAUGGUAAGCCAGAAGUGAAAACCC